UAGAAAUGGCAUGAGGAAUGAGUAAGAGAGAGAGAGAGAGAGAGAGAGAGAGAGAAGCAAUGGAGGAGCCAAGAUCGAUGGUCCCUCGGAUGAUUGGAUCCUCGGUCAACCGCCUAUCCACUAUCGGCACGCACCUAACCUUACAUAUGCGUUAUACCGCAGUCUCCAAGAUGGAUUUUUCGCAGAGACAUGGAUUAUGCGGUUUCGAUAUAUUACCUAGCUGGUAAUGAUUUUUUUUCGACACUGGGUAUGCAGCCACGAGCUAUACGAUCGCUUCGCCAAGAGGCACGCUCCGUGGUUGCCAACGGGCCAAUUAAUCCGAGCAAAUCUUUGCAAAAAGAGCUGGUGCCUCUAUCCUCGUACCUACGUUCAGCUAGUUAUCGCUGCCUGCUGGUGUUGCUUCACGACUGCCGUUUGCUCCCUGCAUCACCCUCUCCUUCGCGUUCCACUUUUCGCGGAUAAUUAUAACGGCCAGGUCCGGGAUGGUAACGUAGAAAUUCAAUGGUGCACAGACUUUAAAGGUGGCUUAGAUAGGUAAGCAGGUAAUGCUGAGGCAGAAGCUUAGGAAUUCGAGCGAAAUCAGAUUGAUCAGAGGUACCCUGCGAUUUCUGAAUCGAAACAUCGUAGAUCCGGUGAGUGAUCCGAGGGGUCUUCUUUGUAUGGAAAUAUCGUAAAAGGGAGACCCCCCAUGAACUCUAGUGCUUUAGACUCUGAAGACUGAGACCUUAAAGGGGAUAUAUUUAAGUUUUGAGCUUCCAGCCUGAUCCUCUCAUUUCUGACAUUAAGGAAUUUCCGUGUAGUCGUGUAUUUAGACACUGUUACCAAUACCGGUACUACUAUUACCACCAUCACCGCCAUCACCACCACUUAUACACUUGGUCGGACUUCUGGCUUUGCGUGAAUUCCACCACGUUGAUUUGAACAGCGCCGCCAGCAGCAACGAGACGCCGAAUUCUCACGCUCCUGUUUACGCGUCCCCAUUAAUGAGAGAGGUGCGGGUCACGUGGACUUGGUUGAAUUAAAAUAUUAAUUAAA
Molecule: long non-coding RNA, 1035 nt
Organism: Cephus cinctus (wheat stem sawfly)
Lineage: Eukaryota; Metazoa; Arthropoda; Insecta; Hymenoptera; Cephidae
Exons: 3
Source: RefSeq, a predicted model, not a curated record